UAGGGAAUAUUGGUCAAUGGGCGAAAGCCUGAACCAGCAACGCCGCGUGUGCGAUGAAGGUCUUCGGAUCGUAAAGCACUUUUCUGGGAGAUGAGAACGGACAGUAUCCCAGGAAUAAGCCUCGGCUAACUACGUGCCAGCAGCCGCGGUAAAACGUAGGAGGCAAGCGUUAUCCGGAUUUACUGGGCGUAAAGCGCGUGCAGGCGGUUCGGCAAGUUGGAUGUGAAAGCUCCUGGCUCAACUAGGAGAGGUCGUUCAAAACUACCGAACUUGAGGGCAACAGAGGAAAGUGGAAUUCCCGGUGUAGUGGUGAAAUGCGUAGAUAUCGGGAGGAACACCAGUGGCGAAAGCGACUUUCUGGGUUGCAUCUGACGCUCAGACGCGAAAGCUAGGGUAGCAAACGGG
Molecule: ribosomal RNA, 405 nt
Filed under: uncultured Anaerolineae bacterium
Lineage: Bacteria; Bacillati; Chloroflexota; Anaerolineae
Description: bacterial SSU rRNA
Rfam family: Bacterial small subunit ribosomal RNA
Source: RNAcentral